Molecule: ribosomal RNA, 435 nt
Filed under: Elusimicrobiota bacterium
Lineage: Bacteria; Pseudomonadati; Elusimicrobiota
Description: bacterial SSU rRNA
Rfam family: Bacterial small subunit ribosomal RNA
Source: RNAcentral
UUUUUUGGAGAGUUUGAUCCUGGCUCAGAGUUAACGCUGGCGGCGUGCCUAACACAUGCAAGUCGAACGGAGCGUACCAGAAUAUCGGGCGCUUAGUGGCAGACGGGUGAGUAAUACUUAAGCAAUUUGCCCUCAAAUGGGAGAUAACCCGGCGAAAGUCGGACUAAUACCCCAUAUAAUCCUCCGGAGGCAUCAUCGGGGGAUGAAAGGCCCGCAAGGGUCGUUUGAGGAGAAGCUUGAGACCUAUCAGCUAGUUGGCGGUGUAACGGACCACCAAGGCAAUGACGGGUAGCCGAUCUAAAAGGAUGACCGGCCACAAGGGCACUGAGACACGGGCCCUACUCCUACGGGAGGCAGCAGUGGGGAAUUGGUCGCAAUGGGCGAAAGCCUGACGACGCAACGCCGCGGGGAGGGUGAAGAAUUUCGAUUCGUAAA